CGAGCCGGCCGGACGGCCGCGUCGGGGAGCGAUCCCCGUCGAGGAAAGUCCGGGCUCCACAGGGCAGGGUGGUCGGUAACGCCGACCCGGGGUGACCCGCGGGACAGUGCCACAGAAAGCAAACCGCCACCGCCUCGCGCGGUGGUAAGGGUGAAACGGUGAGGUAAGAGCUCACCAGCGCCCACGGUGACGUGGGCGGCUCGGUAAACCCCACCCGGAGCAAGGUCAAGAAGGGGCCCCGCAAGAGGCCCCGCGCAGGUGCCCGAGGGCGGCCCGCCCGAGCCUGCGGGUAGACCGCUGGAGGCCGUCGGCAACGGCGGCCCGAGAUGGAUGGCCGUCACCCGCCGCCCCGCAAGGGACGGCGGCCCACAGAACCCGGCUUACAGGCCGACUCGUCCG
RNAcentral lists this RNase P RNA (399 nucleotides) under Actinomadura bangladeshensis. Its description in RNAcentral is "RNase P RNA component class A". It matches the Rfam family "Bacterial RNase P class A". Rfam says of the family: Ribonuclease P (RNase P) is a ubiquitous endoribonuclease, found in archaea, bacteria and eukarya as well as chloroplasts and mitochondria. Its best characterised activity is the generation of mature 5'-ends of tRNAs by cleaving the 5'-leader elements of precursor-tRNAs. Lineage: Bacteria; Bacillati; Actinomycetota; Actinomycetes; Streptosporangiales; Thermomonosporaceae. The record is from RNAcentral.